AGCGAACGCUGGCGGCAGGCUUAACACAUGCAAGUCGAGCGGGCAUCUUCGGAUGUCAGCGGCAGACGGGUGAGUAACACGUGGGAACGUACCCUUCGGUUCGGAACAACUCUGGGAAACUGGAGCUAAUACCGGAUACGCCCUUAUGGGGAAAGGGUUACUGCCGCAGGAUCGGCCCGCGUCUGAUUAGCUAGUUGGUGGGGUAACGGCCUACCAAGGCGACGAUCCGUAGCUGGUCUGAGAGGAUGAUCAGCCACACUGGGACUGAGACACGGCCCAGACUCCUACGGGAGGCAGCAGUGGGGAAUAUUGGACAAUGGGCGCAAGCCUGAUCCAGCCAUGCCGCGUGAGUGAUGAAGGCCUUAGGGUUGUAAAGCUCUUUUGUCCGGGACGAUAAUGACGGUACCGGAAGAAUAAGCCCCGGCUAACUUCGUG
This 435-nucleotide ribosomal RNA is filed under the name uncultured bacterium. RNAcentral's name for it is "partial 16S ribosomal RNA". It matches the Rfam family "Bacterial small subunit ribosomal RNA", at positions 29 to 507 of the family's 1533-position model. The record is from RNAcentral.